This 324-nucleotide ribosomal RNA is filed under the name uncultured bacterium. Its description in RNAcentral is "bacterial SSU rRNA". It matches the Rfam family "Bacterial small subunit ribosomal RNA", at positions 28 to 334 of the family's 1533-position model. The record is from RNAcentral.
GAUGAACGCUGGCGGCGUGCCUAACACAUGCAAGUCGAACGAAGCAUGACCCUUGAGGCCUUCGGGCGGAGAGGGGCAUGACUUAGUGGCGGACGGGUGAGUAACGCGUGGGUAACCUGCCCUAUACUGGGGGAUAACAGCUAGAAAUGGCUGCUAAUACCGCAUGAGCGCACAGUCCCGCAUGGGACAGUGUGGAAAACUCCGGUGGUAUAGGAUGGACCCGCGUCCGAUCAGCUGGUUGGUGGGGUAACGGCCCACCAAGGCGACGAUCGGUAGCCGACCUGAGAGGGUGACCGGCCACAUUGGGACUGAGACACGGCCCAA